AGAGUUGAUCAUGGCUCAGGAUGAACGCUAGCGACAGGCUUAACACAUGCAAGUCGAGGGGCAGCAUAGAAGUAGCAAUACUUGGUGGCGACCGGCGCACGGGUGAGUAACGCGUAUGCAACCUACCUAUCGAGGAGGGGGAUAACCCGGCGAAAGUCGGACUAAUACCGCAUAAAACAGGGGCACCGCAUGGUGAUAUUUGUUAAAGAUUAAUUGCUGAUAGAUGGGCAUGCGUUCCAUUAGGUAGUUGGUGAGGUAACGGCUCACCAAGCCGACGAUGGAUAGGGGAACUGAGAGGUUGGUCCCCCACACUGGUACUGAGACACGGACCAGACUCCUACGGGAGGCAGCAGUGAGGAAUAUUGGUCAAUGGGCGAGAGCCUGAACCAGCCAAGUCGCGUGAAGGAAGAAGGAUCUAUGGUUCGUAAACUUCUUUUGCGAGGGGAAUAAAGUGGAGGACGUGUCCUCUUUUGUAUGUACCCUGAGAAUAAGGAUCGGCUAACUCCGUGCCAGCCGCCGC
RNAcentral lists this ribosomal RNA (520 nucleotides) under uncultured bacterium. RNAcentral's name for it is "bacterial SSU rRNA". It matches the Rfam family "Bacterial small subunit ribosomal RNA", at positions 8 to 518 of the family's 1533-position model. The record is from RNAcentral.